GGUGAAAUGCGUAGAUAUCUGGAGGAACAUCAGUGGCGAAGGCGACUCCCUGGCCAAAGACUGACGCUCAUGUGCGAAAGUGUGGGUAGCGAACAGGAUUAGAUACCCUGGUAGUCCACACCGUAAACGCUGUCUACUAGCUGUGUGUGUCUUUAAGACGUGCGUAGCGAAGCUAACGCGCUAAGUAGACCGCCUGGGGAGUACGGCCGCAAGGUUAAAACUCAAAUGAAUUGACGGGGGCCCGCACAAGCGGUGGAGCAUGUGGUUUAAUUCGAUGCAACGCGAAGAACCUUACCUACACUUGACAUGCUGAGAAGUUACUAGAGAUAGUUUCGUGCCUUCGGGAACUCAGACACAGGUGCUGCAUGGCUGUCGUCAGCUCGUGUCGUGAGAUGUUGGGUUAAGUCCCGCAACGAGCGCAACCCUUGUCCUUAGUUGCCAGCCUUAAGUUGGGCACUCUAAGGAGACUGCCGGUGACAAACCGGAGGAAGGUGGGGGACGACGUCAAGUCAUCAUGGCCCNUUACGUGUAGGGGCUACACACGUGCUACAAUGGCAUUUACAGAGGGAAGCGAGACAGUGAUGUGGAGCGGACCCCUUAAAGAAUGUCGUAGUCCGGAUUGGAGUCUGCAACUGGNCUCCAUGAAGUCGGAAUCGCUAGUAANGGCAGGUCAGAAUACUGCGGUGAAUACGUUCCCGGGCCUUGUACACACCGCCCGUCACACCAUGGGAGUGGGAUGCAAAAGAAGUAGUUAGUCUAACCUUCGGGAGGACGAUUACCACUUUGUGUUUCAUGACUGGGGUGAAGUCGUAACAAGGUAACC
Molecule: ribosomal RNA, 823 nt
Filed under: uncultured bacterium
Lineage: Bacteria
Description: bacterial SSU rRNA
Rfam family: Bacterial small subunit ribosomal RNA
Source: RNAcentral